UCGCUAUCGGCAAACGCAAGUGCCGGAAAACUUCAAACAUAGUCGGCGGCACUGAAAGGCACGCCGUGUAAACAAGCGAGUGCUUCUUGUUCUGGGGGAAUUCCUAAAAUCGGGGCCCCCAGCGGCAGAGUGUGGUCCACCACAUGUAAGCUAUUAAACUGUAAUAACAAUCUGAUGACCGAAAACAAUGUGCCCGGAAUUAGCGCCCACUCCGUGUCUCGAAGCACGCACACGAACGUCUGGGGAUAGUGCUGAUCAUUAAAUAUAACGCCACCAUUAAUUCCCUCAAACAAUGGAAACCCACUAUGUGUAUUCCUUUGAAGGUGAUUUAAACAAUUGUAAUAUUUUCCAUUGAGGAAGCAGGAAAAUUUCGUGGUAAAUAAAAUAUGCAAUAAAAUGA
Molecule: non-coding RNA, 400 nt
Organism: Drosophila suzukii
Lineage: Eukaryota; Metazoa; Arthropoda; Insecta; Diptera; Drosophilidae
Source: RefSeq, a predicted model, not a curated record